CUCCCUAGUAGCGGCGAGCGAGCGGGAAGAGCUCAAAUUUAUAAUCUGGCACCUUCGGUGUCCGAGUUGUAAUCUCUAGAAGUGUUUUCCGCGUUGGACCGCACACAAGUCUGUUGGAAUACAGCGGCAUAGUGGUGAAACCCCCGUAUAUGGUGCGGACGCCCAGCGCUUUGUGAUACACUUUCAAUGAGUCGAGUUGUUUGGGAAUGCAGCUCAAAUUGGGUGGUAAAUUCCAUCUAAAGCUAAAUAUUGGCGAGAGACCGAUAGCGAACAAGUACCGUGAGGGAAAGAUGAAAAGCACUUUGGAAAGAGAGUUAACAGUACGUGAAAUUGUUGGAAGGGAAACGCUUGAAGUCAGACUUGCUUGCCGGAGCUUGCUUCGGUUUGCAGGCCAGCAUCAGUUUUCCGGGGUGGAUAAUGACGGUUUGAAGGUAGCAGUCUCGGCUGUGUUAUAGCUUUCCGUUGGAUACAUCCUGGGGGACUGAGGAACGCAGCGUGCUUUUUGCGAAAGACUCGUCUUUUUCACGCUUAGGAUGCUGGUGGAAUGGCUUUAAACGACCCGUCUUGAACCCACGGACCA
RNAcentral lists this ribosomal RNA (580 nucleotides) under Rhodotorula graminis. RNAcentral describes it as "eukaryotic LSU rRNA". It matches the Rfam family "Eukaryotic large subunit ribosomal RNA", at positions 76 to 668 of the family's 3401-position model. Lineage: Eukaryota; Fungi; Basidiomycota; Microbotryomycetes; Sporidiobolales; Sporidiobolaceae. The record is from RNAcentral.